GCAACUGGCGCUGGGUAGGCAAAGCCGGGAGAAACUGCUGAGACGAGCUCUGGGUGUCUCCCUUGAAGUCAGGCCCUGACUAUCUGGGUCUGUGAGCCCUAUGGGGGCAGGAACUGCAUGCCUGGCAAGGGCCUGGCCCAGAGCCCCUUGAGAAGACAGAUACCAGAUCCCUAUCAGGAGGAAGAGGAGAAGCCAGCUUGGACCACACUGCCCAGGCUUCCGGCAAGCAAUGGCCUCAGAUGGUGGGAGCCUCAGUACCUGCUGGGUACUGACCCUUUCCCUGUGCUGGGCAGAGCGGCUGCUGCUGGAUGCUAGGCACUAGAAAGCCCAGACUGACUACAGGAGACCCUGCUGGAGCUCCUAUUAAUGAUGAGAUGCAAAGGGCAGGUCGGGGAGGCAAGAGAAGGGUUCGCCCAGCUGUACCUGCCCAUCCUCAACACCUUAAAGCCAUUGUAUCAUUGUUGUUCAGUCGCUCAGUCAUGUUCAACUCUUCGAGACCCCAUGGACUGCAGCACGCCAGACUCCCCUGUCCUAUACCAUCUCCAGGAGUUUGCUCAAACUCAUGUCCAUUGAGUUCAUGAUGCCAUCCAACCAUCUCAUUGAGUCCCCACCAUACCUCGUUGGAGGCAGCGCUGUUGUACCCACAUUUUGCAAAUGAGCAAACUGCGGCCACAAAGCUAGUGAGGGCAGAGCCUGGACGUACCCCGUCCCCCCUCUCCUGCGGCCAAACCCAAUGGCCCCCGCCUCUCUGAGAAGGAUGACAGGGAGGUGCGGGGAACGGAGAUGUUUCGGUAGCAACUGCCGUGAGACCUUCUAGGCAGACACAUUGUCAUGGAGAGUCUUGAGAACGCUUUUUUGUGUGGUGUGCAAAGGAAUUCGCUUUUGGUGUCUCUGAGAGAUCGUCGGGAAGAUUUAAACUGCUUUGCAAUGAUUUGGGGAUGUCAGGCUGAUAUUGCUUUUGAACAUAACAUUGUGACGAGACUGGGCCCCAAGGCAGCCCAGUUUUAUUCAGGUUACGGUAAUAAUAGUCGCCACAGCAGCAACUAAAGCCAUUUUCACGGCCUGAGCACUCACCAUGGGCUCAGUGCCGGGCUCAGCCUUGAUUGGAUGCAAGCUCUCUCACCACCAGCUUGAGAGAGCGUUGACUCUCAUCCUCGGGGUAUUCCCUUAUAGCUGAUACCUAAACCUGUUUGUCUCCACACUCACUGUUUCCCCUGUGAGGCAGUGAGCUUGGUGAAGGCCCCAGUCUGGUCUCUCCCAUUCACUGCUGAGUCCCCAGUACCCAGCACCAGCUCCUCAAGGAGCAGCUGGACAUUAAAGCUUGGCUGGACACAUUUCAGAUGAAGAGGCUGAGGGUCAGAGAGGUCACAUAGCUUGCCAGGAGGGAAUCCUAGGUUUCUGUGGCUUGAGAGCCCAGAAUCACCAACUCACAUGGCAGCUUGAAAGACCCUCUUGAAAAGUCCCUGCCUCAAGAAAGCCACAGAGCACAAGUCUCCCCACCCUCACCCCCUGCCCCCUGGUCUCCACUCUUGUUCUAAACCCCAGGAGGCUUCUGACUUGAAUCUGCCCCCUCUGCACCUCUUGCUUGCUUCCCAGGGAAUUGGAUGGAAGGUAGUCUGAGUUAGCUCAGGCUUGGGGAAGCUGUAUUCUGCUGAAAUUGCCCAGUGUUUUGGGUGGGACGUGAUUCAGAUUUUCCUUCCUGGUCACAUUGGUUCCCACUUGAGAGGUCUUUGAAGUGGGGAUGACUUUACUGGGUGAUUCUUGGCCUGCUUAAUUCAUAGGCACACUUGAUCUUUGCUGCUCCUCUCUGGGAGGGGGCCCCUGGUUCUGAGGGGUUUAAGUCCCGCAGGGAGGCCAGGGGUUAUAAAUCCAAGAUGCUCUUGGUUAAGAGCUUGAUUCUGUCACUGAGUGAUCCUGGGAGCCUCAUUUGGCCUCUCUGAGCCUUGACUGACUCUUUCAUAAAAGGGAGACAUGCAUGGGGAAUAUCUAUCUUGAAUACUGGCUGUCGGUGGGGGAAAAAGAGGUCAAGUUUUCUUUUAUUUAUUUUGGGGCUGCACUGCGCCGCAUGUGGGAUCCUACUUCCCUGGCCAGGGAUCAAACCUGCACCCCCUGCAUUGGAAGCACAGAGUCUUAACCACUGGACCACCAGGGAAGCCCCAAGUGUUCUCUUUUGCAAAAAAAAAUCACAUUCUCCACAAGUCAUAGACUAUGUUUAUCCUGUACUUUAAGAAAUGUUAGUUUAGGGCUUCCCAGGGGGUUAAGAAUCUGCUGCCAAUGCACCGGACAAGGGUUCCAUCCCUGGUCCAGGAAGAUCCCACAUACCUCAGGGUAACUAAGCUGUGAGGCAAAACUACUGAAGUGUGCGCACUCUGGAGCCGCAUGCUCUGGAGCAAGCGAAGCCAACGCAAGGAGACGCCUGAGCACCAAAACUGGUGAGUUUCGCCGCGACUAGAGAAAGCCCUUGUGCAGCAGCCAAGACCCAGCACCACCAAAAAUAGAGAAAUAAAAUUUAGGGGGGAAAGAAGAAAUGUUAGUUAAAAAAAAAAAUCUGAACACCAAACAGUCCCUGAGUCCCUGCUGCGUGCACAGCCUUGCAUCAGAGUUGGUCUGGAGAGUGGUAACCCCGUUGUGGGCAUGUCCUUGCUCAGGCUGUCCUCACAGCAAACCUGAAAUGCCAGGGACCAGGAUCGCCACUUCCAGAGAGAAGAGGCAGGCACAGAGAGGGGACCUGACGUGCUUAAGGUUCCACACUGAGAAACUAAAGAGCCUGGCUUUGGAGCUGAGCACUCUGUUCUACCGAUGAACAGAAACGUGAGUCGUGAUGGCAGGGCUCGAAGGGCGCUCUCACGGCACAGAGACCACCCUGGGCUGCCCCUGCCUGGGAGGAGCUGUGUCUCCUGGGAGAGAGGGACACACGGACAGACCAGAGAAGCGUGUGGUGUCAGAGGGGCCACCCAAGGCUGCAUAGCUGAUCCGUCUCCUAAAGGAGCACCAGAGAAGACCCCAGGGGGAGCUUGCUUUAAAAAAGUCCCCUGGGAGACAUCUCUGGAGGUCCAGCAGGUGACUCCACGCUUCCACUGCGUGGAGCAUGGUUUCCAUCACUGGUUGUGGACCUAAGAUAUCACCUGGAGUGGCAAAAAAAAAAAAAGAAGAGUCCCCUGGUUGGUGCACUGACACCAGUUCUAGCCCUUCGCCAUGGCCGAUGGAUAGUGCAUAUUUCUUUUACCUCAAAAUGAGCUCCUCCUGAGCUGUAUUUGAAGCCCAGCUAGCUUGUCCUUCACUGUGAUUUUCUAGCCCAUGGUCACAGGAUCUCUGGACAGGGGGCUCCAGUUCCUGCUACUCAGACCCAUGGGAAUCAUUUUUAAAGAAGUGACUGUGCCCUUCCCUGCUCCAUCCAAAGGUGACUUCAAGUCCCUCCUGGAAGGUCAGCUUCCAGUGGUCAAGAAUCUGGAGUCCCCACUCCAACAGGGUUUCUCCAGAAGGCGGAAGCACAUGGCCGGGGCUGUGAGGUGAAGUUGUCAGUUGCUCACACUGAUCACAACUCACCUGUAUCCUUCGGACUUUAGAGCUGCCAGCCACCGUUAACCUCUGAGCGCUCCUGACCAGAACCUCCAGGGCCUGGCACCUGCCGUG
Molecule: long non-coding RNA, 3633 nt
Organism: Ovis aries (sheep)
Lineage: Eukaryota; Metazoa; Chordata; Mammalia; Artiodactyla; Bovidae
Source: Ensembl